GACGAACGCUGGCGGCGUGCUUAACACAUGCAAGUCGAACGGAAAGGCCCUGCUUUUGUGGGGUGCUCGAGUGGCGAACGGGUGAGUAACACGUGAGUAACCUGCCCUUGACUUUGGGAUAACUUCAGGAAACUGGGGCUAAUACCGGAUAGGAGCUCCUGCUGCAUGGUGGGGGUUGGAAAGUUUCGGCGGUUGGGGAUGGACUCGCGGCUUAUCAGCUUGUUGGUGGGGUAGUGGCUUACCAAGGCUUUGACGGGUAGCCGGCCUGAGAGGGUGACCGGCCACAUUGGGACUGAGAUACGGCCCAGACUCCUACGGGAGGCAGCAGUGGGGAAUAUUGCACAAUGGGCGGAAGCCUGAUGCAGCAACGCCGCGUGCGGGAUGACGGCCUUCGGGUUGUAAACCGCUUUCGCCUGUGACGAAGCGUGAGUGACGGUAAUGGGUAAAGAAGCACCGGCUAACUACGUGCCAGCAGCCGCGGUGAUGCGUAGGGUGCGAGCGUUGUCCGGAUUUAUUGGGCGUAAAGGGCUCGUAGGUGGUUGAUCGCGUCGGAAGUGUAAUCUUGGGGCUUAACCCUGAGCGUGCUUUCGAUACGGGUUGACUUGAGGAAGGUAGGGGAGAAUGGAAUUCCUGGUGGAGCGGUGGAAUGCGCAGAUAUCAGGAGGAACACCAGUGGCGAAGGCGGUUCUCUGGGCCUUUCCUGACGCUGAGGAGCGAAAGCGUGGGGAGCGAACAGGCUUAGAUACCCUGGUAGUCCACGCUGUAAACGGUGGGUACUAGGUGUGGGGUCCAUUCCACGGGUUCCGUGCCGUAGCUAACGCUUUAAGUACCCCGCCUGGGGAGUACGGCCGCAAGGCUAAAACUCAAAGGAAUUGACGGGGCCCCGCACAAGCGGCGGAGCAUGCGGAUUAAUUCGAUGCAACGCGUAGAACCUUACCUGGGUUUGACAUGGAUCGGGAGUGCUCAGAGAUGGGUGUGCCUCUUUUGGGGUCGGUUCACAGGUGGUGCAUGGCUGUCGUCAGCUCGUGUCGUGAGAUGUUGGGUUAAGUCCCGCAACGAGCGCAACCCUUGUUCACUGUUGCCAGCACGUUAUGGUGGGGACUCAGUGGAGACCGCCGGGGUCAACUCGGAGGAAGGUGGGGAUGACGUCAAGUCAUCAUGCCCCUUAUGUCCAGGGCUUCACGCAUGCUACAAUGGCUGGUACAGAGAGUGGCGAGCCUGUGAGGGUGAGCGAAUCUCGGGAAGCCGGUCUCAGUUCGGAUUGGGGUCUGCAACUCGACCUCAUGAAGUCGGAGUCGCUAGUAAUCGCAGAUCAGCAACGCUGCGGUGAAUACGUUCCCGGGGCU
RNAcentral lists this ribosomal RNA (1346 nucleotides) under uncultured bacterium. Its description in RNAcentral is "partial 16S ribosomal RNA". It matches the Rfam family "Bacterial small subunit ribosomal RNA", at positions 28 to 1381 of the family's 1533-position model. The record is from RNAcentral.